AGGCAACGAUCAGUAGGGGUUCUGAGAGGAAGGUCCCCCACAUUGGAACUGAGACACGGUCCAAACUCCUACGGGAGGCAGCAGUGAGGAAUAUUGGUCAAUGGACGAGAGUCUGAACCAGCCAAGUAGCGUGCAGGAUGACGGCCCUAUGGGUUGUAAACUGCUUUUAUAAGGGAAUAAAGUGAGUCUCGUGAGACUUUUUGCAUGUACCUUAUGAAUAAGGACCGGCUAAUUCCGUGCCAGCAGCCGCGGUAAUACGGAAGGUCCGGGCGUUAUCCGGAUUUAUUGGGUUUAAAGGGCGCGUAGGCGGGACGACAAGUCAGCGGUAAAAGACUGCAGCUAAACUGUAGCACGCCGUUGAAACUGUUGACCUUGAGACGAGACGAGGGAGGCGGAACAAGUGAAGUAGCGGUGAAAUGCAUAGAUAUCACUUGGAACCCCGAUAGCGAAGGCAGCUUCCCAGGCUCGAUCUGACGCUGAUGCGCGAGAGCGUGGGUAGCGAACAGGAUUAGAUACCCUGGUAGUCCACGCCGUAAACGAUGCUCACUGGAUCUUGGCGAUAC
This 563-nucleotide ribosomal RNA is filed under the name uncultured bacterium. RNAcentral's name for it is "bacterial SSU rRNA". It matches the Rfam family "Bacterial small subunit ribosomal RNA", at positions 271 to 832 of the family's 1533-position model. The record is from RNAcentral.